AUAGAGACUCAGAGCUGCAUAUCAAUAAGCGGAGGAAAAGAAACUAACUAGGAUUCCCUCAGUAACGGCGAGUGAAGCGGGAAGAGCUCAAAUUUGAAAUCUUCAAGGUUUACCUUGACGAAUUGUAGUUUAAAGAAGUGUUUUCUGUUGGAGUUUUGGUAAAAGUUCUUUGGAAAAGGACAUCAUAGAGGGUGAGAAUCCCGUAUUUGGUUAUUCAUUCUAGCCUUGUGAUACACUUUCAAAGAGUCGGAUUGUUUGGGAAUGCAGACCAAAAUGGGUGGUAAAUUUCAUCUAAAGCUAAAUAUUGGCGAGAGACCGAUAGCGAACAAGUACCGUGAGGGAAAGAUGAAAAGAACUUUGAAAAGAGAGUUAAACAGUACGUGAAAUUGUCAAAAGGGAAGCGUUUGACACCAGUGUUGUUUUUCCGAAAAUCAAUUACGAAUGGCUUGAUUUUGUGUUGUAUUGACCUUAUCAGCUUUCUGCACUUUUUUCGAGUCUUUCUUAAUGCACUUUUUGGUUAACAAGUCAACAUCAAUUUCUUUUGCUGUAAAAGAGUAUUCGGAAGGUGGCUUUCUUUUCGGAGAAAGUGUUUAUAGCCCUAUACUCCUGCAAUCGGAGAGACUGAGGUCUGCAGCGUAGAUCCUUCGGGGUUAGAUACAUUUGUGCUAAGUUAUAGCUUUUUAUAGACAACUUGUUGACUAUGUUUAGUCUUGUAGCUUACUCGCUGACGCUAUUUUACCUACGCUUAGGAUGUUGACGAUCAGCUGAGCGCG
This 773-nucleotide ribosomal RNA is filed under the name uncultured Neocallimastigales. RNAcentral describes it as "partial large subunit ribosomal RNA". It matches the Rfam family "Eukaryotic large subunit ribosomal RNA", at positions 23 to 634 of the family's 3401-position model. The record is from RNAcentral. Lineage: Eukaryota; Fungi; Neocallimastigomycota; Neocallimastigomycetes; Neocallimastigales.